GAAUGGAGUUAAAGGAUCCCCUUGUCUGAUUCCUCUUUGGGCUUCAAAAUAACCUUCAGGAGCACCAUUAAUGAGGACAUAAAACUUUAUUGUUGAGAUGCAAAAAUGUAUCCAUCUAAUCCACUUUUCUCCAAAUCCCAUUUUUCCAGAGUAUAUUGAGAAGGAGCCCCCAGUUAACAUGAUCAUAAGCUUUCUCAAUGUCCAAUUUGCAUAGGAUGCCUGGUUUCUUUUGACCCACUCUAGAGUCUAUUGCUUCAUUUGCUAUUAACACCGCAUCCAUGAUUUGUCUUCCUUUGAUGAAAGCCAUUUGUUGGGGGUAUACCAGCUUGUACAUCACCCUUUUGAUUCUUUCUGUUAAAACUUUAGACAACAACUUCUAGAAACUGCCUAUCAAGCUUAUUGGUCUGAAGUCUUUAAGUUCCUUUGCUCCUUUCUUCUUUGGGAUCAAGGCAAUAUAGGUGGCAUUGAAACUCUUCUCAAACAUUUCCUGCUUAUAGAAAUUAUGGAAGGCCGCCAUGAUGUCAGGCUUAAGAAUUUCCCAACAUUUGAUGAAAAAACCCAUAGUAUAACUAUCAGGUCCUGGGGCUUUAUCAAUGGCACAUAACUUCAAGCAUUUAUAAACUUCCUGCUCCUCAAAUUUGGCCUGUAGUUGUGAUCUUUCUUCCUCUGAUAUUGAAGGACAAUUCACUAAAUUUCCAUCAGGUCUCCAUCUCUGUUUCAAAAUACAGUUUCUCAUAAAACAGGAUGAUUUCCUCCCUAACUCUGUCUGGUUCUGUGAUGAUCUUUCCCUCUACUUCCAACUGGUCAAAAUGGUUGCUUCUUUUGUGGGCAUUUGCAGAAUUAUGGAAGAAUUUUGUAUUGUUGUCUCCUUCCUUCAACCACAAGAUUCUAGACCUUUGUCUCCAAGCACAUUCCUCAUUUUAGAUCAGUUCUUCGUACUCCAUAAAGAUUUCUGCCUUCAAAGUAGCCUCUUCCUCUGUCAAUGCUCUUUUGUUCAGCAAAGAAUCCAAAUCUGCCAUUUUGUUAAGCAGUUUGGACCUUUGAAUCUGUAGAUUUCCUUUUUCAAUUUUACUCCACUCUUUGAGCUUUUCUUUCAGUGCUUUCAUUUUACAUGCUAGGAUGUAGUCUGGCCUCCCAUAGAAGGAGAAAGAGUUCCACCAGUUACUGAUUUUAUCACUAAAACCUUCUGUGUUCAGCCACCAGUUCUCAAACUUGAAAUAUGAUUUACUAUGUUCCCAAGGUCCACAAAAUAGAGCUAUUGGGACAUGAUCUGAGGUCAUUCUUUGGAAUGUAGUUUGCUUCAUCUUGUUAAAUUGAUCACUCCAUUCAGACGUGAAAAGUAUCCGGUCUAUUCUGGAUGUUGUUGUAUGUGUAUCCCCUUUGAACCAUGUGUAAUGACCUCCUUCAAGUGGCAAAUCUAUAAGCUCUAGGUCCUCAAUAGUAUCAGAGAACUCAAUCAUGGCUGAAGAUCUUCUUUGACAGUUUCUUUUCUCCGAGGAGAACCUGCACACAUUAAAAUCUCCACAAAUUGCCCAAGGCCCUUCCAUUAAUCCUCUGACCCCUCCUAAUUCAUUCCACACCUCCCUCCUUUCCACCUUACAAUUUGGUGCAUAGACCCCUGAGAUGUGGCAGUUGAAAUUUUGAAGUAAAGCCUCAAAACUACAUGUUAGAGUAUAAGCACCAACUUGUAGUAUCUCUCCCUUCCACACCCUGCUAUCCCAUAACAUAAUGAUUCCCCCUCUUGUUCCACUUGCCUCUAUGUGACGGGGUUGAUCAUUUCUGAUGAUUGACAAUUUUUAAUGGUAUAAAGCUGGAAGAAGAUUUUUUGGCUGGGUCUUGUGGAAAAUGAUGUGAAGCUGUGAAAGCAACUUGAAUAUUGGUUUGUGCUUAUAUUGGUAUGGGAAUUCACAUGCCUGGUUUCAUUACUUUUCUAACGGUGUUAAACAAAAAGAUGAAAGUUGUUAAGCAUUAAAUACUUCAAGGAUGUAUUUUGUUAACUAUGGUGGUUCAAGGAUGUGGCUUAAGUUUUGAAUAUAGUUGGAGGAUGUCUCUAGCCAAAAACUCAUGUAAAAUGUUAUUUUGCUGUCAUAUUUUUUUCUUGCAAAACCUACUUUGAAUUCUUUUUCUUUUGAGUUGAGGGUCUAUCAAAAACAAUUUCGCUCUACACCACAAAAGACAGGGGUAAGGUCGGCUUACAUCCUACCCUCCCAAAAAAUCCUACCAUCCACAUACCCCACUUGUGGGUUAAUAUUACAGUGGGAAUGUUGUUGAUUUUUAUACAUAUAGUGCAACUUCUAACGAGUCCUAAACCCUUAAACUUUGUUUGGAUGGUCGUUAUAUAUUGUUUCAUAUUGUAUAGUAUAGUACUGCAUUGUUUUAAUCAAUGUAAUGUUUGGAUAGAUUUAUCAUUUCUCAUCAUUACAUAAUGUCACACAUCAACAAUUUGAAAUACAACCUAAGCAAAAGUAGGAUACUGGGUAAAACGAAAAGGUAGGGUAAAUGAUAAAAUAGAAUUAUCAAAUAACAAAUAACGACAAAAUUAGAAAAAAAAAUAAGAUGAUCAUGCAAUCACACCAAAUCAGUUAUUACACAAAGCGGGACUUCACCUAACAAUAAAUUUAACCAUACAAUAAAAUCUAAGAAGUAACAAUCAAAACUAACAUCCUAUUUAAACUAAGAACACAAAACAAUACAACAGGUAACAACCAUCCAAACAAGCGGUUAAUUGAACAAUGUUAAUAAUUUUGAGAUAUCCAAUAGGAAAAGGUGUUAAUACACUUGCCUCUCAUUAAUCUUGAUCCUCCUCCGCUGUUCUGUCUCAGAAUGCUUCGAACGAUGAGCAGUUACCUUCCCAUCAUUGCUCUUCCCUUCUAAUUUCCCUGUCACACUCAAACCCCAUUAGCUUUUAUCCAAAAAAAAAACAUCAAAUCCCAGUUAGUUUAGAAAUAGCAAAUUAAAUACCCUUUUGAGAAGAACCAUCGGGAGUUCUAGAUGAAAACUCUUCAUCGUCUUCUUCGUCCUCUUCAUGAUUAUUCUUCACAGUCCUCACCAUUUCAAAAUCUGAAACCAGAUGACAAAAAUCAGUCGAAACAACAACUUAUUAACGGUUAACAAAAGAAGAUUAAACAGAGAGACUGACGAUUUCGCUAAAAGGCUCCGAUUAUCGAAGAACACUUGCAAAACAUACACCGAAUAAUGUGUGUACAGAGAAAUGUUGUUUGGCUAAUUAUUGGAAACCCUAGGCAAUUAAGUGGAUGUUUUGGUAGGUUCUAAAUUGCCCUUGCAAUGACACUCCAUUAUAUUUUUUCAUUUGUGUUUUAAAAAAAUUAAAUUAGUAUACAUUGCGCCAUGUUUGGAAAAUUAUAAAAACAUGAGUUUUAUUAAGAUAUAUAUAUAUACUAGUAACGAAAGCCCGGGCGCUGCUCGGGCCCAACAUUAACAAAGUUAUAUUGUUAUUCUCUCCGUCCCAUAUUAGAUGAGAAUCUUACUAAAAAAAAAAAUUUCAUAUUAUUUGAGCACUUAUUAAAUUAGGAUAGAAUUAAUUAAUUCUUCGGAAAAUGGUCAAAAUUGCCCCUGAACUAUGAGAUAUAGACCACNNNNNNNNNNNNNNNNNNNNNNNNNNNNNNNNNNNNNNNNNNNNNNNNNNNNNNNNNNNNNNNNNNNNNNNNNNNNNNNNNNNNNNNNNNNNNNNNNNNNAAAUCCCAUUUUCCUGAGUAUAUUGAGAAGGAACCCCCAGUUAACAUGAUCAUAAGCUUUCUCAAUGUCCAGUUUGCAUAGGAUGCCUGGUUUCUUUUGACCCACUCUAGAGUCUAUUGCUUCAUUUGCUAUUAACACCGCAUCCAUGAUUUGUCUUCCUUUAAUGAAAGCCAUCUGUUGGGAGUCUACCAGCUUGUACAUCACCCUUUUGAUUCUUUCUGUUAAGAAUUUAGACAACAACUUAUAGAAACUACCUAUCAAGCUUAUUGGUCUAAAGUUUUUAAGUUCCUUUGCUCCUUUCUUCUUUGGGAUCAAGGCAAUAUAGGUGGCAUUGAAACUCUUCUCAAACAUUUCCUGCUCAUAGAAAUUAUGGAAGGCCGCC
RNAcentral lists this long non-coding RNA (4078 nucleotides) under Solanum tuberosum (potato). RNAcentral's name for it is "long non-coding RNA (STUB_LNC009518)". Lineage: Eukaryota; Viridiplantae; Streptophyta; Magnoliopsida; Solanales; Solanaceae. The record is from RNAcentral.